RNAcentral lists this long non-coding RNA (628 nucleotides) under Homo sapiens (human). RNAcentral describes it as "HSALNT0377223". Lineage: Eukaryota; Metazoa; Chordata; Mammalia; Primates; Hominidae. The record is from RNAcentral.
AGAGAGGAGAAAGAGAACUAGAGACAGAGAGAGGCAGACAAGGAAGGGGGGGGGGGGUGAAAGACUUUCUUUUUCUUUCUAGAGGAAUUCUGCCCAGACUCUGCAGCAGUUGGUAGCAGGCAAGCUUUCUCCUGGGUGUCGCCUUGAAAAGUUGCAAAAUUGCUCUUCACCUGUAAGAACAUGCUCUUUAUCUUCCAGUCUCUUCUUGUCAAUUUGGAAAUUGCAGACUGCCCGGCUCAGAAGAGAAGACUAGUGCUCUGAGAGAAGAUUCCCUAGCAGUGGAAACGGAUUCACCUCUGGCGCUGUUUCAAGUCACUGAACUUAUCUAACAAGCUGGUGCACAAGUGCCCUUGGCAUUGCCCUCGUAGCUCUGGCUGGGCCACAGAAAAUGGGUCACUUGGCCUAAGACCAUUUGUGGGAGAAAUGAUAUGGAUGGAUCAGAUGGUGAUGAUAGUGGAGGCCCUGCAGGAAGGCGAGGCAGACCAACAUUCAAAAUAUUCUUCUGCCUCUGCCGCUCCUGAGACAGUAAGACCAACCCCUCCUCUUCCUCCUCCUCCACAGCCUACUCAGUGUGAAGAUGAUGAGGAUGAAAACCUUUAUGAUGAUCCACUUCCACUUCAUGAAUGAA